Molecule: ribosomal RNA, 511 nt
Filed under: uncultured bacterium
Lineage: Bacteria
Description: bacterial SSU rRNA
Rfam family: Bacterial small subunit ribosomal RNA
Source: RNAcentral
ACGAACGCUGGCGGCGUGCCUAACACAUGCAAGUCGAACGGGGAUUUGUUUCGGCAGAAUCCUAGUGGCGAACGGGUGAGUAACGCGUAGGCAACCUGCCCUCCGGCCGGGGACAACACUCCGAAAGGGGUGCUAAUACCGGAUACGAAGUCUGUGCCGCAUGGUACGGAUUUGAAAGAUGGCCUCUAUUUAUAAGCUAUCGCCGGGGGAUGGGCCUGCGUCCGAUUAGCUGGUUGGUGGGGUAACGGCUCACCAAGGCGACGAUCAGUAGCCGGUCUGAGAGGAUGAACGGCCACAUUGGGACUGAGACACGGCCCAAACUCCUACGGGAGGCAGCAGUGGGGAAUCUUCCGCAAUGGGCGCAAGCCUGACGGAGCAACGCCGCGUGAGUUGAAGAAGGUUUUCGGAUCGUAAAGCUCUGUUGUCAGGGACGAGAGACUUGAUCAGGAAAUGGGUCAAGGAGGACGGUACCUGACGAGAAAGCCACGGCUAACUACGUGCCAGCCGCCGC